AUCCUUCUGUAGUUCUUAAGGUGAUGAAUAAGUUACCAUGUGCAUGUGUGAGAUGUUUUCCAUAAACUUUGUUAGAAAGUUGGCGCAUUACCCUUCUGACA
Small nucleolar RNA from Nycticebus coucang (slow loris), 101 nucleotides. RefSeq annotates it as small nucleolar RNA U13. The transcript has a single exon. NCBI's taxonomy places the organism in Eukaryota, Metazoa, Chordata, Mammalia, Primates, Lorisidae. The record is from RefSeq and is a predicted model, not a curated record.